UUCAUGCAUCAUAAUCCAAUGUGUGGUGGCUUCUCGUUGUCUUUCAUGGUCAUAUUUACCUCCUGAAUUCAUUAGUAGUGGUCCAAAAAGCUUCUCAUCAAUCUUGCUUUUUGCUGGCUGAAAGUUUGAUUUUUUUUGUUGUGCUACUAGCUUCUUGUAAACAUGACAUGUUUGUUUUAAAUGCCUCAUCAAAUGACUGGUUGAUCCACUAGCAACAACAGAAUAAUUGUUUU
This 233-nucleotide long non-coding RNA is filed under the name Lathyrus oleraceus (garden pea). Its description in RNAcentral is "Pisum sativum (pea) long non-coding RNA (PSAT_LNC036555)". Lineage: Eukaryota; Viridiplantae; Streptophyta; Magnoliopsida; Fabales; Fabaceae. The record is from RNAcentral.